UACGGAGGGGGCUAGCGUUGUUCGGAAUUACUGGGCGUAAAGCGCACGUAGGCGGCUUUGUAAGUUAGAGGUGAAAGCCCGGGGCUCAACCCCGGAAUUGCCUUUAAGACUGCAUCGCUUGAAUCCAGGAGAGGUGAGUGGAAUUCCGAGUGUAGAGGUGAAAUUCGUAGAUAUUCGCAAGAACACCAGUGGCGAAGGCGGCUCACUGGCCCGAUACUGACGCUGAGGCACGAAAGCGUGGGGAGCAAACAGG
Molecule: ribosomal RNA, 253 nt
Filed under: uncultured bacterium
Lineage: Bacteria
Description: partial 16S ribosomal RNA
Rfam family: Bacterial small subunit ribosomal RNA
Source: RNAcentral